CUGCCGCCCGCCCGCCCGUGUGCGGGGCUCGGGCCGUGCGGGAGCCGAGGCGCCGGGCAGCGCUGGAGCCGCUGCCAUGACAACCCCGGGGAUGCUGCCGGCCGGGGCCGGGGUGCUGCUGCCGCCGUCCCCCCGCAUCCCCCCCGCCCCGCUGCGCGCCUGAGCCGCAGCCGGAGCAGCCACCGGCCCCGCGGGGGCUCCGAGACCCUCUGGACACAGCCGAGGAGCAUCGGGGACAUCGCCUGCAGCUCCGCGGGGAAGUUUCGAUCUUGCGACAGAACCGGGAUUUUGGGGAGCUUUAUUGGGUUUUUAAAUUUUUUUUUGUAUUUUUUUUUAAAUUCUCCUUUCUCUCUGUGAUUUAAACAAAAGCUCAAGAGCCGGAGAACAGCCCAGCCCCGGCCCGCUGUGUUCCCCCGGUGCCGAUGCCGCCCUCCCCCUCCUUUCACAGACACUCACGUUUCCUCCGUGGGUUAUAAACUUUUGAUGCCAGAUCUCCGCAGCGCCUGCCCAGCUGCAGCUGAAAGUAGCGUCUCCGGCAGCCACACAUCUGUGACCUUCAUCUCGUGCUCCGCACCUUCUCUCCUCCUCUUCCUCCUCCUCCCCCCGGCCCUCCCGUCCUCCUCCCUCGCCCGAGGACAGCGGGACUCCCUCCGAUGCCGCUCGGCAGGCUCAGCGCUCGCAGCCAGCCUUGCCGGGGGCUCUCCUGAUCUCCGUGGAGCUCCGCAGCGCUCGCCCCGGUGGUUUUGCUCCCCCCCAUCCCUCCUCUCCACCCACCCCUUCCCCCUUUUCGCCGUGUCGGGUGUGUUUUUUGCCUGUUGGAAAAGUCCCCGCUGCCCAGGAUGGGGGUCGGUGGGUGCUUGGCCCUGCCCUGGAGGUGCCUGGUCGUCCUCUGUCUCAGGCUGCUCUUCCUUGUGCCCGCAGGAGUGCCCGUGCGCAGCGGAGAUGCCACCUUCCCCAAAGCCAUGGACAACGUGACAGUGCGGCAAGGGGAGAGCGCCACGCUCAGGUGUACUGUGGAUGACCGGGUCACGCGGGUAGCGUGGCUGAACCGCAGCACCAUCCUGUAUGCCGGCAAUGACAAGUGGUCUAUAGACAACCGUGUGGUCAUCCUGUCCUACACCAAGACCCAGUACAGCAUCAAGAUACACAACGUGGACAUAUACGAUGAGGGCCCCUACACCUGCUCUGUGCAGACAGACAAUCACCCCAAGACUUCACGUGUCCAUCUCAUCGUGCAAGUGCCCCCCCAGAUUGUCAACAUCUCGUCGGACAUCACCGUGAAUGAGGGCAGCAGCGUGACCCUCAUGUGCCUGGCCUUUGGGAGACCGGAGCCCACCGUCACGUGGCGGCACCUCUCUGGGAAAGCACAUCCCCCAGGGCAGACCUUUGUGAGUGAGGACGAGUACCUGGAGAUCACGGGCAUCACACGGGAGCAGUCCGGGGAGUACGAAUGCAGCGCCGUCAACGACGUGGCCGUCCCGGACGUGCGGAAAGUCAAAGUCACCGUCAACUACCCGCCGUACAUCUCCAAUGCCAAGAACACGGGCGCCUCGGUGGGCCAGAAGGGCAUCCUGCAGUGCGAGGCUUCGGCUGUCCCCGUGGCGGAGUUUCAGUGGUUCAAGGAGGACACCAGGUUAGCAAACGGGCUGGAGGGAGUGCGCAUCGAGAGCAAGGGCCGCCUGUCCACGCUGACCUUCUUCAACGUCUCGGAGAAGGACUACGGCAACUACACGUGCGUGGCCACGAACCAGCUGGGCAACACCAACGCCAGCAUCAUCCUCUAUGGGCCCGGAGCAGUGCACGAUGGCGGCAACGCGGCGUCCCGGGUGGCUGCUGGCCUCUGCCUCUGGGCCACCCUCCUUGCUCGCCUCCUUCUCGACUUUUGAUAAGGGAGCGGAGGGUCCCGGGAGGCCUCGCCGCACCUCUCCCACGCCGCGGGCUCGGCCGCCGCGCCGCCCGGGGACUCCUCUCCAUCGGACGGGCGAUGCACCGGAGGACGGGCGGCGGUGCCGAGCGUCCGAGGAUGGCCCCGUCUCCCACGUGCCGGGAUCGUUCUCGCCGCCGGUUACACUGUACAGACCCCACCACGUGCCACCAGACUGUCACCCGCCACCAUCGCCCCGGGAAUGUGGCCCGGCACGGACGGUGCCCCCUGUGGCUGCCUCAUCUCCAACGCCGGUGGGCAUGGAGCUGUCGGGGCGGGUGCCGCCCAGAGCCUUCACCGGGAUGUCCGUCUCGUCAUCUCACUAAGCCGCCUAUGCCCAAAAAGACCCCAAGGUUGAAGCCUCUUGGCUCUGCCUUCAGCCCUCUCGGUCCUGAAUGUCAGUUCUCGUCGCCAAAGCUCCUCCCUAAGCACCCCGAUGUCGCCGGACCCCCAUCACCUGCCUCUGCUCCUGACAGGAUGCUCCCUGGCCCUUUGGGAGAGAGUCAUCCGACACAACCAGUUGUCCUUCAAGGGUCACACACUUCCCACUACUCUUUAUUCCAGCUGACAUCUUUCCCCUGUGCUUCCCACUAAAACCCCCUCACCUUCCUGAGGACACGAGGCUGCUCUCCCAGGAAUGUGAGCCCUGGGGACUGCCACCAGCCCUCCUAGAGACUAGAGCCUUCUUGCUGCAUCGGACAGCCAGGCCCUCACUCUUUGCUCCAGAUCCCUGCCCAUUCUGCUGCUGCCCUCCUGAUGGCAGGGGCUGCCCCAUGGCUCUCACCUUGAUGCUCUGCUAGCACUUUUUGGGGAAAUUUCUCUGGGCUUGUUUACCAAGCACUUUCCAACCUGCACAUCAAGAGCACAGCAUCACCAGCGUGGGGCAGAGGCUCUGAACAACAGAUCAAAACACCAGCUGACAAGGCCCUUUUGCUACAGCUCUGACGUUCAUGACCGUCUGCAUCUCUGCCCCUCAUGGGGCCCUGAGCUGCAAUGUCCUCACUCUGCCUUGUCUCAUGCCCAUCACGUGUCCCUGCCUGAGGAAAGUCUGAUGUGUCUGACCCUGUGGAGGUGGCCUGGGCUCUGUCAAUUUGCUGUGCUGGCACAGCAGGGACAAGGAUGGCUCCAAUGCUCCCUGCUGCAACUUGCCUGUGACACCAAAAUAGACACACCCAGACUCUACCCCCUCUGCUUAUUCUAGCCACCCUGGGAGCUGCCACCCAUGGUGGUGGUAGCCAUGUCAUCUCCCUGCGUAUGGAAUUGUGCUCCUGAUAGCCUCAUGCACAUGGACCCCCUUGCCUGGUACAUUGUGGCAGCCCUGAGCCUUCUUGUCACUCCAGGCCACCCAGGAAUGCUUUGGUUCCACAGUCUGGGGAUGGACGCUCCCAUCCUGCUCCUGAAAAGUCACAUGUGGCACCAGACCCUAUUGCUGCGACAGGGAGACUCGACUACAGCAAGGCACUGAGCAAGCACACAGAGUGUCCCUUGUCCUGACCCAGCACCUCCCCGUGCCUUGUCCCUUCCUUCUCCCUCUGUAAGUGAGAUGACUUCAGAACAACGGCCACGCACAUGCUGUCUUCCCCAUGCAAAUUCUGCUGCUGCCCAAACCUGCUUCUUUCUGUGGCUGCAAGGAAUCUGAGGUGCCAGCCCUCAGCACACAAGAUGGAAAAACCACCCGGAGCCAGAGGCCAUGAUGGGCCACCACUGUGUCCUCUAUGCAGGCCUGCCCGUCUUCAUGCCUGUUCUCAAUGGGCUGCCCAGGACCUGCUACAAAAUCUCAGUGGAUGCUCCCACCCGCCCAUCCUGGAUGCUCAACGCGUACCAUGGCUGAUUGACAAAAACCCCUGGCCCCAGGCAGGGGCUGCCCCAGUGCUGGCCUGAGGCGCUGGCUUACCUGGUGGACGGGGAUCCAGUACUGACUGGGUGAGUCCACAUCCUGCGGUCCCUGCGGUGCUGCUCUGCUUCUCAGCUGGCAUCCAAGAAAGGUGGCACUGUCAGCGAUCUGGGUCCUAUCCCGUGGCCCCGGGCAUGUUUAUCACGUGGGGAUGGCACUGUCUUCAGCCAGCACGGCAACACGCACAUCCUUCCCCACAUGCCCGCUCCAAAAUACCGUGGGUGCAGGAGACACCUUGCCCUGAUGCCUUUAUUGGUCCGCACUGCCCCACAACCACCCUCCACUGCCACCCCGUGCCCUUUCCUUGGUCAGCCCCAAAUUUCUCUGUCCCCACAGCAGAAAUGCUGCAGAGUCACAGGGCAAGAGGCCACGGCAAAUCGGAGAGUGGCGGCGACGAGAUGCCACGACGCACACUGAGGCUGGCGGGCCUGGUGCCAGGGCUGCCCCCAUCCCAUCCUUGUCCCUGGGUCGGGUGAGCUCCCCUGUACCCUGCUGGGACGGCAUUCGACUUUCUCGUGCCAUGUAACGUGCCAUUGUGAGGAACGUGUUGGCUGUCUGAGGCUGGUGCUGCCACGGCUCUGCCAGGUGGCAGACCCGUGUGUGACCACUGCUCAUCCAGUUUGGAUGCCCGGGGGGUGGCCGGGUGCCCAGGGUGGGGGCAGUGUGGCUCUUGGGUCUCUCCUGCUGACGGCUGUGAUGGCCGGUCUUGAGUUUCUGUCAAUCAUUGUAUUCCAAGGGUGGCUAUACUACCUGAGAUUUGUGCAUGUUACAUUGUAGUUGUAACCUUUUCUAAUUCGGCAAGAAUAAGAGAUGGUUGUGAUUGUGCAGUGUAUCAAUAAAGUUUGGCGAACUUUGUACCUUCGGGGCUUUGCUUCACGGGUCCCGCACACCCAGGGAAGGGAUGCAGUGCUGGGCACCUGCUGAGCUGAGCUGGGAGGGCUCCUGAGUGCCUGGGACCUCUGCCACUCUUGGGGUCCCACCUAGCACUUAGCUGGACCCGCUUUUGAUCAUCCCUUGUGACAGUGAUGCUUGAAGUCCCACAGCUGGGGGCCUGCUGCUGUUUGGGCCACCCUUCACCCCAUCCAUGCAUCUCCCCUGGGAAUCCAUCAGUGAGUCUCGGCUCCUGCCCACCUCUGUCUGCUGAUGAGCAAUGAGCACACACCUGUUGAUGGAGGCCCUGAAGGGUAAGGACUGUCUCAUCACUCACCUACGUUCCAUGGAAGCAGCAUGACUGGGGGCCUCUUUUCCACGACUGAGACAUUCCCAGCAUCUCCUCCAUCAUCUUGCAACAACGCUCACUCUGACAACUAAACCUGCCCCCAUGAAGAGAUGCCUCUGCAAACAAUGCACUCCCAAGAUUUGCUCCUAUUGUGCUCUGGCAGUGUGUGACACAGACCAAAUGUCUUCAUCAAAGGACAAAAAACAUGAGGACCAGGAGCAGAAGACCUGUGACCCUCAGUGUCUCCCUGACAUGGCUGUAAUCUCACCCAUCACUCCCAGGGGAUGCCUCACCUUUCCACACCAUCAACCAGGAGAAAACAUUCAACAAGCUCCUCUAGUGUGAGACCUGCUGCCAGGAGACUGAGGGUAGUGGGACUGUGACAGACCCAUUAGAGUCUUGCUCACUUUGAGACCCCUCUUUUGUCUUCCCCAACAUGGGAAUGAAAAGCCCAGUCCCAAGAGUUUUUCCCUGAAUGCCAGAACAAACAAACAGCUCCAUCGCAGCACUGCUAUGAGCUGCUGUGACCUUGCACAUCAGGAACACCUCUGCUGUCCCCCUCGAGUGACCCCAGCAGACAGUUCUGCCUGAUACCCAGUGCUGGACCUGCCUCCACUGGAGUCCAUACCUACAGAUGCCCAAACGCUCCUGCUUAUGGCACAUCCUGAUGCCUCAUCUGCAUUGUCCCCAUCACAGAGCGUGGGGAGGCAAUGCAGCCCCUCUCUGCCCAUGCGAUAUCCUCCACCUCCCUUUCCUGGCUUGAGAGGGAUGUUUCUCCAUGGCCCUCAGCAAUGCCCAACCUGUGCCUAAGGACAUGGACCUCAGCUGCUACAUCCAGGGGGAGGGAAGGUGUAUUGCAGACCAUGACCUCCAUCCCUUCCCAGCACCAAGAGACACCCUUACCGAUGUCAAUAAAUUAUUACAUUAACGCAUCCAUCGAGCCGCCUCUCUCUCUUUAACUUCCUCUUUGUCUGCUACUUUGGCACUGGACACUCCUUGAUCUCUCACCUAGAACACCAAAAAAGUUACAAUUACAGAGAGGAGGUGAGGGAGAGAGCCCUGUUACCUCCAUACCUAUCCCUGUAUUCCUCCCCAUUGCCCCCAAGCAUCUGGGCAUUGCCCUUCCUACCAGAUUUGCUCUACUGUGGCUGGCUGGUCCAACCUGGGAGUUGCAAGACCUGAAUAAAGACCAACACCAUCAUCUCUGCCAUCCUGACCCUGCUACCUGUGCCCAGCUGUCCUGUCCCCACACCCUCACUACCCUGUCCCUUACUUGGGAUGUGCCACAAAGUCUGAGCAUGGUUCUUCCCUUACCCCACAUGGACACUGCAUGUCACACCUCAAAGCAACACCUUCCCAUCCUUCUCCAUGCUCAUCUCUUGGGUUACAUCAUAGGGUCAAGAAACAAAAAAUGCUCACACCAAACUGUCACACCAUCAACAGCAACCAACUUCUGAUCCGGCAAAUGUGUCAGGUGACCUGAAGAAACCAGCACCCUGGAGGCUACAGCUGAGGCUGAGGACCAAACUCACUAAGCAGCCUUCCAGGAUCACCAAAAACCAAGACACUGACCAAGACAAGGCUCCACGGACAGCAAAAUGCAUCUACACCCAAACAAUCCUGCUGUGCUUUGCCUGUAUGCAGCACUGCAGGAGGGACCCUGUUCCCUGCACCCACCUCACAUCGCUCUGUCCCUCCUUCCCACGCAGGAUUCGCUUCAGCUGCUCCACAAGCAUCCCCAGCAAUGCUGUGCAGCUGGGCUAGAGAGCCACACCUGAGCUUAGGGGCACUGAGUGGGGUCCUGAGCAGGGAAAUUUGGGACAGCUGUGCCUCACACUAUCUCCAUCUACUCACCAAAGCCUUACCUGUGACAGCAUUCCCGCUGGGCUCAUCGGUGAGGUCCAGGGGCCAUCUCUCCAAUGUUCUCCUGGCCCAUUGUGAUGACUUGGUGCUCCCAUCUGCCACUCCCCCUCCAGCAUCCCUCCCCACAUCCCUCCCCAUUCCUGGUGGCGCAAGGGGAGAACGUGGAGUGGCCCUGGCCCCCGCGGCAAUGAGCACCACAACCAGACGGAGCGGCCACAUGGAACAAUCGUUUUAAUGGAUAGGCAGAGAGAGCCCCCUCGCCGCCUGCCUGCCCGCGCCCGGGCCCCCCGCGUGCCCCCCGCCGCCGGCCGCAGGGAAGGAAAGGAAAUUGAAGGAGGAAAACCAAUUGCAGGAGAAACCCCCGCUGAAAUGGACGGCGAGGCAACAGGUCCUGCGCCUCGGCAGGGGCCAGUUGCUUCGUCUUCUUUUUCUUAUUUCUUUUGUGAUGUUUUGUUUUUUUAAUAUAUAUAUAUAUAUAUAUAUAUAUAUACACACACACACACGCACGCCCACACACACAUAUA
RNA transcript from Motacilla alba alba, 7424 nucleotides. It is a transcript of the gene named opioid binding protein/cell adhesion molecule like, with no coding region annotated. The record is from RefSeq and is a predicted model, not a curated record. Lineage: Eukaryota; Metazoa; Chordata; Aves; Passeriformes; Motacillidae. The transcript is spliced from 8 exons.